Molecule: non-coding RNA, 714 nt
Organism: Hydra vulgaris (swiftwater hydra)
Lineage: Eukaryota; Metazoa; Cnidaria; Hydrozoa; Anthoathecata; Hydridae
Source: RefSeq, a predicted model, not a curated record
GGUUACAAGUAGGUAGCAACUACUUAUGUAGAAAGUGCAUAGUUAGAAAGGCCAAGCAUAAGAUCAAAGUGGAUAGAUUAACAAGACUUUUGUUGGAAGCACAUGAAUGUUUUAUAAUAAUUUUAAAAAGUUUUUUUAAUUUUUUUAAUCUCCUUUGUUGAACCUUUUUUUAUUUAUAGAUUUUGAAUAUAUUUUUGUAACUUUUUUAUUGUUGAUAAAUUUUUUUUAUUUAAAACCAUGACCAAAUCUUCAAUCAGAUCAACUCUUGUUUUUGAUUUUUCCGUGGUAAAAAGGAUAUAAUUUCAAAUCAGCAUUCUACUUGUCAUAGCGCUCUUUUUUUGUCACAUAAGUUGUGCUAAUAUUGUCAAAUUUCUUGAACUAGACCCUUUGCUAACUGUUACAAGACGCUUUAAUUUUAAUAAGCCAAACAAAAGAACUCUUGAACAACAAAGUCAGAAAAGUCAUAAUCUUAAAACUAUAGAACCAUUAUCUCCAGAAACAUUUGUAGACAUAUCUGAUAAACACUAAAAGGUUGAUAAUAAAGAUCAAAUACGAAAAUCAUUUGGUAAAGAUGUUGAUAGUGAGUUUUCAAUUUCCUUAGGGGAAGGGAGUACAACUGACUCAAAAUUUCAAGUUGUUAAUGCUGACAGUGCUCCUAUAAAAAAUGAAACAAACAAAACUAAAAAUAAUACAUUACAAAACAAAGUGAAAUUU